RNAcentral lists this ribosomal RNA (1441 nucleotides) under uncultured organism. RNAcentral describes it as "bacterial SSU rRNA". It matches the Rfam family "Bacterial small subunit ribosomal RNA". The record is from RNAcentral.
GCUCAGGAUGAACGCUAGCGGCAGGCUUACACAUGCAAGUCGAGGGGUAACGAUCCGUCCUAGACGGAGGCGACGACCGGCGCACGGGUGAGUAUAACGUAUGCAACCUUCCCUUAAUUGGAGGAUAGCCCGGAGAAAUUCGGAUUAAUACUCCAUAAUAUCAUAGAAUCGCAUGUUUUUAUGAUUAAAACUUCGGUGGUUAAGGAUGGGCAUAUGCCCCAUUAGUUAGUUGGUGAGGUAAACGGCUCACCAAGGCAACGAUGGGUAGGGGGCCUGAGAGGGUAAUCCCCCACACUGGUACUGAGACACGGACCAGACUCCUACGGGAGGCAGCAGUGAGGGAUAUUGGUCAAUGGGCGAAAGCCUGAACCAGCCAUGCCGCGUGCAGGAUGACUGUCCUAUGGAUUGUAAACUGCUUUUCUGCAAGAAGAAACCAUUGAUCGUGAUCAGUGCUGACGGUAUUGCAGGAAUAAGCAUCGGCUAACUCCGUGCCAGCAGCCGCGGUAAUACGGAGGAUGCAAGCGUUAUCCGGAUUCAUUGGGUUUAAAGGGUGCGCAGGUGGAAUAUUAAGUCAGAGGUGAAAGCCUGCAGCUUAACUGUAGAAUUGCCUUUGAUACUGAUAUUCUUGAGUUUAGUUGAGGAGGGCGGAAUGAGUAAUGUAGCGGUGAAAUGCAUAGAUAUUACUCAGAACACCAAUUGCGAAGGCAGCUCUCUAAACUAUAACUGACACUGAGGCACGAAAGCGUGGGGAGCGAACAGGAUUAGAUACCCUGGUAGUCCACGCUGUAAACUAUGAUCACUCGUUGUUGGCGAUACACAGUCAGCGACUGAGCGAAAGCGUUAAGUGAUCCACCUGGGGAGUACGAUCGCAAGGUUGAAACUCAAAGGAAUUGACGGGGGCCCGCACAAGCGGAGGAACAUGUGGUUUAAUUCGAUGAUACGCGAGGAACCUUACCUGGGCUUAAAUGCAGAACGAUUUUCCGGGAUACUGGAUUUCCCUUCGGGGCGGACUGCAAGGUGCUGCAUGGUUGUCGUCAGCUCGUGCCGUGAGGUAUCGGGUUAAGUCCCAUAACGAGCGCAACCCCUAUUGUUAGUUGCCAGCGGAUAAUGCCGGGGACUCUAACAAAACUGCCCGUGUAAGCGGGAGGAAGGUGGGGAUGACGUCAAAUCAGCACGGCCCUUACGUCCAGGGCCACACACGUGUUACAAUGGCAGGUACAAAGGGCAGCUACCAGGCGACUGGAUGCUAAUCUCUAAAGCCUGUCUUAGUUCGGAUUGAAGUCUGCAAUUCGACUUCAUGAAGUAGGAUUCGCUAGUAAUCGCACAUCAGCCAUGGUGCGGUGAAUACGUUCCCGGGCCUUGUACACACUGCCCGUCAAGCCAUGGAAGUCGGUAGUACCUGAAGUCUGUAACCGCAAGGAGCGGCACUAGGGUAAAACUG